RNAcentral lists this ribosomal RNA (487 nucleotides) under Tubularia indivisa. RNAcentral's name for it is "partial 16S ribosomal RNA". It matches the Rfam family "Bacterial large subunit ribosomal RNA", at positions 1923 to 2582 of the family's 2925-position model. The record is from RNAcentral. Lineage: Eukaryota; Metazoa; Cnidaria; Hydrozoa; Anthoathecata; Tubulariidae.
CUAAACGGAUGCGGUAACUCUGACUGUAAUAAAGUAGCAUAAUAAGUUGUCAUUUAAUUGGUGGAGAGAAUGAAUGGUUAAACGAACGUUUCAUUGUCUUAGGGGAGAGUUUUUGAAAUUGGAAAAUCAGUGAAGAUCCUGAUUUUCACCGUUAGACGAAAAGACCCUAUAGAGCUUGACUAUACUCCAUAACUUAUCUUUUAUGGAUUGGUAGUUUAGUUGGGGCGACUAUCUUUUAUAAUAAACAAAGAUAAGCAUAAUAAUAAUUUUUCAUUUUACUGUUUAAUUAAUAAAUUUAACAGUUAUUAAAGUAGGCUAUAAUGACCCAUUAGGUAUAAAAAAUUGACUUAAUGAUUAAUAAAUAAAAGCUACCUUAGGGAUAACAGGAUAAUUUUGUUUUAGAGAUCAAAUCAAAUACAAAGUUUGUCACCUCUAUGUUGAAUUAAGAUAUCCGAGCAAUGCAGAAGUUGCUUAAGGUAGUCUGUUC